RNAcentral lists this ribosomal RNA (118 nucleotides) under Danio rerio (zebrafish). The record is from RNAcentral. Lineage: Eukaryota; Metazoa; Chordata; Actinopteri; Cypriniformes; Danionidae.
AGCCACAGCCAUAUCCCUCUGCAGCCCAAGACCGGUUUACUUACUGAAGCUAAGCAGGGCUGAGGCUGGUCAGUACUUGGAUGGGAGACCACAUGGGAAAACUAGGUUGCUGUUGGAA